UUUGUUUUCUUUCUUGCUCUCAAGUUGCCAUCAUGCUAAAUCUGUCAACCUGUUAGCAGCAUGUUCCUUUUUUGCAAGUAUCAUAGUUGUUACUCCAUGCAUCAUAUGAACUUGUGCCCAUGGAUUAAGUUGAAGUAUAUCAUCUCUACUACACACCCAUGUCUUUUGCAUAAUUAUUAAAGUUAAUGUGCUUGAUGUUAUGUGCCUUGAAAGUCAGCAUCAUAAUGUUAUUGUUUUGCAUUCCCAGAUUUCCUAGUCUGAGAAUCAGCUUAUAUCAUGUUGUAUCUUGUCUUGUUGAUUUCCAUUGAUCUAUGGCUCAUAUAGAGAUGCUUAGUGAUCAUGUUUUGCUAUGUUUAACCUGUAUUUUAAUGCCAUGAUUUUGUUUUCCAUGAUCUUGCACUAUAUCAUCAUUGUUUCAUGCCGCCAACAUGUCAGCAUGUUAUUUCUGCUUACAUGUGUGCCAUGUUUUCACAAAGUCCUAAUCUUCAUUAUUAAGUUGCUUUUUGCAUUGAUCAUCUUGAAUUAAUCUUGAUGCCUAUGAACCUAAACCUUAAUGUUAUUGGAAGCAUGUUCUCUGUACUUGAAGUGCAUGUCAAGUUUGUUCCCAUGUGAUUCCUGUAGCAUGUAGUUUCCUUGAUUGCAAAGUGCUUAGUUGUUGUUUUGGGCAGAUUGUGUGUGAAACUUGUAUUGACUGUAUGUGUUGAACCGUUGCUCCGUUUUGAGCAUGCUCAAUAUGAAACUUGCUUCGAUUUGCAUGUAGUUUCAUGUUACCUUGUUGCAUCCAUGUUUUGAGGUGUUUGUGAUUGUGUUUUGCUUGCAUUUGCAUCAAUCCCAUGUUUAACUUGUUUUGCUCAUAUCUUCUAGGCCGUAGCUCUGAAUUAAACGAACUUUAUAUGUAACUUUACUAGAAAACCGUGUAGAUCAUCUUGGUGCACUUUAACUUGAUGUUUAACAAAUUCAACAUUGUGUUUUAAUCAGAUCUGGACCAAUUUCGAAAUUUGCAUAUGAGGACUUACCGAUAUUAUUACAUUUUUUUCCGGACUCAUUUAAACUUGUUUGACGUGUUGUUCUUGUAUGCAUCAUCUCCUGCCAUGAGUAGCAUCAUGUAGCCUUGUCAUACAUCAUUUGUGGUUGAGAAUCAUGUCGCGUUUAUGUUUUAUGUGUUUACCAUGGUGUUUCCUUCUUUCCGGUUGUGCUUCUUCUCGAUAAUUCGGGUUUCGUUGCGAUUGUGAGGAUUCGUUCGACUACGUGGCUUCGUCUUCUUCAUGGAAUCAUUCUUCUUCAUAGCGGGAUUUCAGGUAAGAUGACCAUCACCUUGGAUCUCACUACUAUCUUUGCUAUGCUAGUUGUCUCGAUACUAUCGCUAUGUCGUGCUACCUACCACUUGUUUAUCAAGGCUCCCAAAUUGCCAUGAUAGCCUCUAACCUUUUUACCCUUCCUAGCAAACCGUUGUUUGGCUAUGUUACCGCUUUGCUCAGCCCCUCUUAUAGCAUUGCUAGUUGCAGGUACAGUUGCAGGUUGUUCCAUGUUGGAACAUGGAUAUCAUGGGAUAUCACAAUAUCUAUUGUUUAACUAAUGAACCUAUAUACUUGGUAAAGGGUGGAAGGCUCGGCCUUAUGCCUGGUGUUUUAAUCCACUCUUGCCGCCCUAGUUUCCCUCAUAUCGGUGUUAUGUUCCUUGAUUUGGCGUCCCUAACACGGUGAGGGUUUAUGGGCCCCUCUUGAUAAUUCGCUUUGAAUAAAACUCUUCCAGCAAGGACCAACAUUGGUUUUAAUAUUUGCCAUAAUAAUACUUGAACCUAAUAAUUAAUUGGCAUAGGGCGUCAUGAAGCCGAGGAUUUUCUACAUAGCAGGGGGGCCAGUGCUAAUGGUGUUAGUCCCAAACUACAACACAGUGCGGGACCGCCCCUAGGAGAUAUGAUGCUACUUUUGAAGUUGUUAAACAUGGGAUCCUUGGUCAUGUACGCUUUGCUUAUCUGGACGUGGCCUGAGACGACAUAAGCGCGGCUACUAUCAGGGUGUCAGCAUGCCUGGAGGUCUUGCUGGAUUAGUUUUACCAUUGUCGAAAUGUCUUGUGCACCGGGAUCCUGCGAUGGAGGAUUGUCUCCGUGGAUCAUGAGCUUGUCAUGGGCUAAGUUGGGACACCCCAACAGGGUUUUAAACUUUCGAGAGCAAUGCCUGCGGUUAUGUGGCACAUGAGAAUUUGUUAAUAUCCGGUUGUGGAGGACUUGAAGUAAACUCAAUUAAAAUACACCAACCACGUGCAUAACCGUGACUAUCUCUUUCAGGUGCAUUCGAGAAGAGAACACGGUUGGGUUAUGUUUGAACGUAAGUAGUUUAGGAUCACUUCUUGAUCAUUACUAGUUGGCGACCGUUUGCGUAGUUUCUCAUCUUACUCUUUUACUCGUUAGUCAGCCACCAUGUAUUUCUUAGUCGCUGCUGCAACCUCACCACUUACCCUUUCCUACCCAUUAAGCUUUGCUUGUCUUGAUACCCAUGUUAAUGGGACUCCUGAGUCCUCGUCGCUCAUACAUUACUACAACAAUAGUUGUAGGUACAGGUAAUCCGAUGAUCUGACAUGAGAGCGACGUUUGCUUAUUUUGGAUUUCUUCUUCUUCUUCUUCGAUUUUGGGUUAGCUUCCUGGUCGGCAGCCUGGGCUAGCAGGGUGGAUGUCGUUGAGUUUUUGUUUGUGUUUCAUCCGUAGUCGGAUGUUGUUCUAUGUAUGAUGUAUUGAUGUAUUCUUGUGGCAUUGUAUGCCUUUUGUAUGUAUCCCUACUAUUAUGUAAUGGUACGAUGUAAUGAUAUCCACCUUGCAAAAGCGUGUCAAUAUGCGGUUCUGUCCUUGGUGGGUCCUUUGAGUUCCUUUAGGAUAGAGUCGCAUAUUGGGUGUUACAAGUUGGUAUCAUUGCCUCACCAACCAUAGGAGCCCCAUUGUUUGAUCGUAUAGUUUAAAAAAUUUCGGAGUAUAGUGAUAUCGGUGAGUAGGAAUUCUUUUUACUCCUCCAUCCCUUCGUCACUCUGGUGAGAAAUCUUGAUGCUGGUGUUUUGAUAUACUCCUCUUCCCCUUCAAUUUUUUUAGGAUCACGCAGUUAGUUUUCGUUCAUUGUGAUGUCAUCUCUUUUCAACCGACGCACUUCUCUUGCAGUCAUUCUACCAUCAUUGUCUUUUGUGAGGUUAAUCCUCAGUUCUUUCUCAACUACGUUGUUCCCACAUGCGAAGUUCUCUUUUCUUUUCCCACCCACCCGCACUUUUUCUUCUUGGAGCCGGAGUCCUUAAUCGAGUAUCCAUCCUAUUCGUGUGAAGCAUUUGCAUACUUUUCCUCAAUUAUUUCAACCGGUGUUUUCUAUUCAAGUUAUUCGUCGGUUACCAGUUCCAAGUUGCCUAUGUUUUUCCCGCCCUCCCAUCGCUUUUCUUCCUGAAAUCCGAGCCUCUAUUUAAGCAUCAAUUUCAGUCAUGCGGAACCUCUUCAGUCACUCCUCAAUUGUCUCAACUGGUGAAUUCUCUUCUAGCUCAUCAUUGUUCAUCUCGUUUUAUUUAUGAUGGGUCUAAUUCAAGUUUUCGUUGUUGAUCAUAUUCCUUUCCUUGACUAAAAUGGUUUCCAUUGCUCGUUCACCUAUCGCCAGUUUAUCCUUCCGGAGAGCACAAGACAUCUUAGAAGAUCCGUGUUUGUAUUCAAUUAAUUCGAGGUUGUCACCUCAUUCGAGUCUUUCAAUCGUUUCGGUGCAUCAUUUCUCAUUCAACAAUCCUUUCCAACGGUGCUUCUUUUCAGUGUGCCCUAACCCACAUGUCUAUUCCUAGGAUCUUACCUGACUCUUCUAAUUUUCCUGGAGUUAUUCUCAAAUUCUUUUCGAAGUUUGAUGUAUGAAUUUUCAUCAGUCAAGUGUCCUCUCCAAGAUUGUUUUCAAAUUAGUUUCAUUGUUGAUUCAACCUCUUCUCUCUUCAUUCUCCCGUAGUAUCUCAACAAAUUUGGGUGGUGUUCGUCAUCAUCAUUCUCAACAUUUUAAGACCGAAGAAGAGUUUUCGUAUAAAUCUUGACCGUUCUCUUGAAGAUUUGUGGAGCUAGCUUGAUGUUAUCCUCUCAAAUUGCUACAAAUCGUGCGAUUCUUUCCUUACCCAUCUGAAGUAUUUCAGGAGUAGUUUUCCAUUUCGAUCAUCCGGAGGCCAUCAUUUCAGAAUAUUUCUUUGUUCCAAGUUUUCAGCACCGUUCGUUACCAUAUUUGUAUCGGUGCUUCGUUCAAGCAUUCUUUAAUCAGUUCAUGAUCUCUUCGUUCUCCUGCAUCUUGAUUCACUCAAGUAUCUUUGUUUGUUUUCUAAUUCUUUCCGACGAUUCAUUCUCUUCUCUUCGUUCAUUUUCAUUGCCACGGUGGCUCAUUUAAGAGUUUCACUUUUGUUCUUAUCAUAUCAAUUCAUUCAUUCUUUCCAAUCCUAAAUGUGGUUUAAGAAGACCUUCCCAUGUUUUGUGCUAUAUCUCCCCUUAAUCUUUUCCAACGCGAGUAAGUUGUAUGCAAUCCAUUGCUGCUCAUCGAUUUAAUUGGUGGAGGAUAAGCAUAACAUAAUUCUUAUUCUUCUUUCUUCAAGUUGAGUUAUCUCUUCUUUUCGGAGAUUGUUCAUGAUGAAUAAUUUCUUGGUUAUAAGUUAUUCAUCUUUUCUUUUCCGGAGUUCCAAGUUUUCUCGCAUGUCUCGUCACGAAGCUCAAUCUAAAUCAUUGUAAGGCUUCAUCUUGUUCUUUUCAACCUUCGAUUCUUUCAUCCUUUUGUUACGGGAGUUCUUCACGGUGGUUCAUUAAAGAUUUAAUUCAUUCUUCAAGUCUUCAUCAAGAUUCUUUUUGGAGGAGCGCAGGUAUAUUUUCUUCUUGCGUCUCAAUGUGCAAUUAAUUAUCCGUAUGCUUUUGAAGUGGAGUUUUGCAUUCCACCAUUCUUCUCAGCUAUUCAAUCAUUCCCGUUUGUGGCUGGUUAUCACCUCAUAAUUUUGAGAUGUUUUCCAUAAGCCCACGAAAAUCAAUUAUGUUGUUGUUGAUUUCCAACAACUCCGUUCAAUCCUUCCCUCUAAGACUGCUUUCGAACUCAUUUUUGGUAGAAGAUGUCAUUUUCUUCUUCGUUCUUUUCAUUCAACUUUUUUAGACUCUUCUAGAGGCAUUGUGUUGUUCAUCAAGUCAAGUACCGCUGCAUCUUGUGAGCAUGUUACUUUGUUUCCAUGUUCAGCCCGAGUAGUUUCAUAGUAUAUCUUGUUCCUUGAGCCUUUGAUUCUCGUCCUAACACCAUUCUUCUCUUCUACCCGAGUGCUCUCAGUCUUGUUCACCUUCUCUUUUGCGCUCUUAUUCCUCCUUGUCAUCUUUCGCUUCCAUCUCGUUCCUAAGAUCUCGGGACGAGAUCUCUUGUUAGUGGAGGAGAGUUGUAAUGCCCCAAGUCCGUUGCGCCAGGUGUCUUCCAGUCAUUCCCCAUCAUUGCCAUGUCAUUUGCUUACAGGUUCCACUUUGCCAUGUCAUCAUGUGCAUCUCAUUUGCAUUCAUGUUCGUCUUGCAUCCGGUCACUUUCUUCGUUGUCCAUUUCAGAAUCAAACACUCUCACAUGCACCCGUUGCACCUCUCAGAUCUUGUUUCAUGAGCAGGAGAAAAAAAUUCUCGGAAUGGGCCGAAAUUUUUUGAGUGGUCUUGGUAUAUCACCGGUAGACCGCCAGUCAAAUUUCAUUCCAUUUGGAGGUCGUUUGAUGCCCCAACGAUUAACCGCGUUGAUCGAAACCCUCCUUCUCUAUAUAGACCAGCACCCCUUCACAAUAGCCCACUAGCCCAUCUAAACUCCCUCCAUGCUCUCCGUCAUUGGAUCAUGAUCGUGUGGGCGAAUACCACACCUCAUUUGGCCUCUCCUAGCUCCCUCUACGUAUAUAAACACCCUCACCCCCGAAACUUCGGGCAAACCCUAGCUUUGUUCCUCCUCCCGCCGUCGGACAUGUCCAUCCCGCACCGGACGUGUCCACCACCGCCCUCCAGCCACGUCGCUCGGCCAAUCCCGGGGCGACACGUCUCCUCCACCGCACCGGCCCGUUGCAGCCCAUCACAGGCCCUCCCGGCCCGAACACCGCCGCCCCUCUGCUCCCGAUCCGCCCUCUCCCUCCGGCCGCCCGCCACCUCGUCUCCGCCGCCUGCUCUCCGCCCGAGUCGCCGCCGCCCGACUUCGGUGACUGGAGCUCACCGGAGCGUGCCGCUUCGCCUCCGUACUGCCGCCUGCUCUCUACCGCUGUGCCGCCUCUCCCCGCCGCCCGCCGAGUGCCGUCACCUCGCUCUGGCCGGUCCUUCACCGGUGCACCUUCGCCGCACUGUCCCGCCCUGCCUGCUACGCUUGUCGGUGUUCUGGGAACAGGGGUCCCUUGACUUGCCUGCCUGCGGACCACAGCGUGGCUCAGCGUGCGGGCCCGUAUGGCCCAUCUUCACCAGCAAAGACUCAAGACCCUCGUGAGGGGCCAUGCCUCGCGAGGCGGACGACACAAGACCUCCUCAGGAGCGGCCUCACUAGGCUGCCUGGCGAGGGGUGGAGAGAUCAAGUCCAGGCAAACCUCGCAAGGUUUCGGUGAUGUGAGCCAUGACGACCAAGGCCAGGCAGGCGCCAGCGUGCACAGUUUUCUUGUUUCCUCUUUGGUGCUAAGGAAGCAGGCGCAUGCGCAAGCGCAGAGUACCGAGGCGUCAAGAAAAGGUUCCCAUAUCGGUGCAACGAGACCAAGACCAGCAGGAUGAGAAGACGGAGGUCACCAUGGAGCCCAAGACGGCGUCACCACCAGAGCCUUUUGCAGGCGAAGACUGCUUUUGUCAGGAUAAGUUGUACUAGCUGUCCCCUUACGAACUGGCUGUUGUUAGCUCCCUUCCCGCUCAAUAUUUGGGGAGAGGACCAGGGCCUCUAUAAAUAGGACUAGCCACCACCAUAGCUAGAGAGAGGGAUGGAGGGGACGGAUCGAGAGUAACCAGAACCACCACAAGUUCACCGAGCACAAGAACACCUCUCCUCAGGAGGCUGUUCUUCCCCUCGUAUUGUUCAUCCUCAGCUCAAGAGGCAAUCCACCACACCACACUGGAGUAGGGUAUUACACCACAACGGUGGCCUGAACCAGUAUAAAUCUUGUGUCCUUUGUGUUGCGGGUUCGUCGAGUUAGCCCGUAAGAUCUUAGCAAAGCUAGGACGUGGAUCGGUAGGGGGUGAUCUUCAUGUGCAUCCAGAGUUUGAACCUUGAGGGUUUUGCCGGAACCCGUGAUCCGACAUUUGGCGCGCCAUGUGGGUGCGCCGAAGCUUGCCUUCCAUCGCUCCAUGUCUCAUUGCUCCAUCGUCUCCAUGGCGGAUGCUCGUCGCACUCGCGCUGAGCGCCAGGCUGCCCUCGCCGCCCGCAUGGCUCAGACGACCCCCGUCGGCGGGCCACCCCGUCGUUCCCUGUCGCCUGACGCCAACGCCGCCACCGGCCCGGCGGGGAGUGAGUAGCAAGCAUCCUCGCUGCACCCCUCGGUGCGGUGGGACGGCCGCACCGCCACUGUAUAGCUGACCCCGGUCGGCUCGUCAACCCACGCUCGUCGCGCCCCAUUGGACGCGCAAGCCGCUCUGUGCAUGGCGUGUGAGCUCUUGCGCUACCGCCCAAUCGACGACCUCUAUGAGGACUGGCUCGACCGCAUUGCCGACCUUGUCAGUGCUGCAGGGGGCUCCCCUAUGCCAUCCCUCUCGCCGCCUCGCCCUCCGCUAGCCGCGGGCAGCUUGGCCCAUGGAGUCUUGGCGCCCAGGCGUGCGGCCCCACGGCGCGACCUACCGUGUCUGGCGCCCGCGCAAGAAGAAACAUGCUGCCAAGAAGUCCCUUGACCGCGAGAAAACGCCCCCGCGCUCCUUGCGCCACCACGGCAAGACCGCGUGCCACCUAUGGCGGCGGUGCGCGGACCUCAUCAAGGACAAGUUCUCCACCAGUGCAGAGUCCCGGUGACCACGGCAGGCUGCCACACCUUGGCCGGGCAAGUUCAAGUCAGAUCUGCCUCCUUGCUAUGAAGGUACCCCCUACCCCGCGAAGUUCCUACAGCUCUACCAGCUGAGCAUCAAGGCGGCCAACGGCGACGAGAAAGUCAUGGGGAACUGGUUCCCAUGGCUCUCAAGGAUGGUGCCCGCUCCUGGCUCCUGAAUCUCCUGAAUCUGCCUCUAGGCUCGAUCUCCUCCUGGGACGAGAUGCGCGACCGUUUCGUCGCCAACUUCCAGGGCACUCGCGACCGCCCACCGGCUGCGGGUGACCUACGCCGCGUUAAGAAACAACUAGGAGAGACCCUCCAGAAGUAUAUCUAGCACUUCAACAACGUUCGUCUCAAGAUCCCCAAGGUGAUGGACGAGGCCAUCAUCUCCGCGUUCUCCGAUCGCAUCCGUGACAUCAAGAUGAAGGAGGAGCUCGCCAUCCACGAGGAGUUGUGCAUGUCUCUGGAGCUGUUCAACCUGGCGACCAAGUGUGCAAGAGCUGAGGAGGGGCGCCUCUCCCUCCUCGAGCUCCCGACUGCGGACCCAGAGGAGAAGAAAGCCAAGGCCAAAGACGUGAAGUGCAAGGGAGCAGCCGUGCUCGCGACGGAGCCGGACACGAAGCGUGGCAGGGACCAGCGCGAGUCAUCCAAGAGCAGCCGACCGUCCUGCGCCUUCCAUAACCUGCAUAGCCACAACACCAGCAACUGUAAAGAGCUCAGAGCCAUCCGAGAAGGACGCUUCGGUCGAUGCCCUGAGCGCAACAACCGGGGCUAUGGCUGAGGAGGAGGACGUGGUGGUGGACACUGGGAUGACUGUGGCCCGCGCCAGGAGUGGCGCGACCGGCAUCGUGAGGACCACUGGCAGGAUCAGCCUCGCCAGGGCGCCUGGAGGGAUCAGCCUCGUGAGGAUCAUCCUUAGGGCAAUGCCGGUCUCCCUCCACUGAUGCCACCACCAAGAAGGAACGACGACCACCACCAAGACGAGGGGGCUGGGGGCUUCCAGGAACCGUGUGCUAUCGCCUGCGUCUUGGCAGAGCUCAAGCCCCAGCCUCACAGCGCAUCUUCUAGUAGUUUGCUCGUCAGGUGAACGCAGUCCUCCCCAAGCUCGAGGCCAAGCGCCCACUCAGAUGGUCCCAGUGCGCCAUCAUGUUCAUCUCGACAGACUAGCUCAAGUGCGCGGCUACCGGUGGUGUCCUCCCGAUGCUUUGUUCACCCGUCAUCAGCAACAUGCAAGUCACCAAGACCCUCAUCGACGGUGGCGCAAGGCUCAAUGUCCUGUCCAUCGAGACGUUCGACAACCUGCAAGUGUCAUAUGCUCAGCUUCAGCCCACCAAGCCUUUCUCAGGAGUGACUGACGGCUCCACCACACGAUCGAUUAGGUCCGCCUCCCGGUCACCUUCAGAGAACGCAACAACUACCACACUGAGAUCAUCAACUUCGAUGUCGCCCACAUCCGUCUGCCAUACAAUGCCAUCCUCGGGUAUCCAGCCCUGGCCAAGUUCAUGGCCAUGAUGCAUCACGGCUACAACAUCCUCAAGAUGCCAGGAAGCGGCGGGAUCAGCAUAGUCGCCUGCAAAGAAAGAGAUGCGGUGUGCUCCCUCGAGCGUGCCUUCCAAGCAGGGUCAAUCGAAGACCCCGGCAACAAUGCAGGUCGGUACCCUCUUGAGGUUGUCGCCAAGAAUAAGAAGCAGCAACUCCGUGCCGGACCACAGGAGGGCAGCGCUGCAAGUGGCACCUCGUAAGGAUCAGCGCCAGCACCUGGGGAUUCUCCCUCUAUCUCAUAGGAAGGCGCGCCCAGCGCCCUCCUCGGGCAGGGCUCGGGGGAUCUCUUCUGGAGGGCCUCAGACCUUGCCAACGUCACGAGGGAGGCGCUCGGGCACCACUUGGAGGCGUGUUUCGCGGCACGUCUCCUUCAGGAGGACACCAGGCAAGGAGCGCUCGGCGCUCAGGAGUUCAUCACCAAGGUUUCUCAGGAGCUUCAGGAAGCAAGAGCAAUACGAGGUGACCCCCGCCCACCUGGCACUGCUCCGCAACCCAGGCGAGGGUGGUGAGCUGCGCGUCUGCAUCGACAUCCCAGGGCUCAAUCGAGCCACAUCUCAGGAGCGCUUCUGGCUUUCGUGUGUUGGGCGCUCCGAAGGUCCACCUCACAGCUACGUUCACAUGCCGUUCGCCCUGCCGAGCGUGGCUGCUACCUUCCAGCAAAACCUGCGGAGCGUCAUGGCGGGUUAGGAGGCCAGGCACCACGCAGUCCUGGCGGAGAUGGCGAUGGUCCUCAAGGAACCGCCUGGACCCCCAGAGCCUCCCGAGGCUCAGGGCCCUGGUGGCUCAUGAGGGGCAACCCCUUCGCCGCAUACCUUCAGUUGCCUCAACACACCUUCAUCAAAGGAACCAGGUGACAUUUUCCAAGUUCUUUUAGCUGGGAGCGCCCCCAGGGCUGCAUUAUUCCCAGGCCGCGUGGGUCCGUCCCUAUGGCAUGUAUCCUUCCUUGUUUAUGUCUUUAGCUUACCUUGCUGGGGGCACCCCUCGGGCUGCAUCAUCCCCAAGCCGCUCGGGCCGGACCCAGUGGCGCGUAUCGUUUAUGCAUUUACCUGAGCUAGGUUGCCUUUCAUGCUUAAUCUAUCUAUGACUAUCACCUACUUGAUUGUCUUCCAUCGUGGGAGCCGCACACCGGUCAUCUUUCUUCAGGACCUUUCGCGUGAGAGGGUUAGGCUUGGCAUCUGUGCUCGGGCCCGUCCCUGCAGCGUCAAUAAAUCCAACGGCUGAGCUCUGUUUGGCGGGCCGGCCCCAUUCACAUCACCUCCUGGGGCCGUUGGUGCUUGGCUUUCUCACGCAAUAACCUCAAGAGAUUCGUUUGGUGCAGGUUGUCUGACCACCUCGCAGGACCAAGACAGCGAACAAUAAUCAAGACCAGGUGCAACCCGCUUUGAGGUAGGGCCUCGUGAGUCCUGAGCUGGCUCACAAGUGCCCAGACACACCUCGUCCAGCCUGCCUUGCAAGCCACGUGUCAGGGCGAGGCUGUACAUGCCCCGGGGGCUCUCCGCAGUAGGGAGUCCCCUCCCACGUACCAGUGGUGCACCAUGCUCUGCGCUGGUAGUUGUCACUAUUGAGGAGCGGCUAUGCCCGUGCAAGUGCGGAAGCGCCAUGGUCCGUCUUGGUGAUAAACAACUGAGGGUGGCCUCACGGCUGUAUCAACCUCAGGGAGCCUCCGGGCUCGGUGUCUGGCCUCAACGAAAUGCUUCCCCUCGGGAGAGCCGUGCGAGGGGGCUGGGCACAUGCGCUACGCUCGGGUGACGCCCAAGCAUACGCCACCCCCAGGUCCCUCGGACCUGGUCGUCGCGCGCUCUCCCAAGCGGAGUUAAGGUAUGAUGGUCGUUUGAACAUCAUGGGGGACUCCUGAGCAUCGCGACUCAGGAGCCUAACUGGUCACAUAGCCCCUCAAUCCUUGGGUCCGUCCUGGUCUUCGGUCGGUCCAACGACGGUUGAGGUAUGCGCAGGGCCGGGCUCUGCCGACGUAGAACAUAAAGAAAAUAGGAAGAAAAUCGCAAAAUCUCAAAGCAAAUAUUACAAGACAUAGUGUUCUCCGAAUACCAAACACAAGUUUAAACGCCGAUGUGAGGUAUGCUACAUGCGGUAGGAGUUUCAAAAGGAAAGGAGCCGCAAGCCAGUCAUCCCUCGACACCGUCGGCACCUGCAAGUGGUGCCCCCUCCCGGGUGGCGUCGUCUUCACCUGCACCACCGGUCGAAGGCGUGGGGGCGAAGGCGUCGAACUUCUCCAGCAGGGCUUCCACCUGACCCUUCACGGCUGUGGCGGCAGCCACACAACGCUCCUCGUCCACAUGCUCUAGCAGCUCGUCAAGGCGGGCAGCACGAUCGCGAAGAUGGAGGUGGCUAAAGACACGCGUCAGCACGGCUGAAGAAAGGACGCGAGCCUCUGCCUCUGCCAUGGGGCCAAUGCCAUGCACAACUUCCUCAAGUGCAUCGACCAAGUAGGAAAGCAAGUGGGCGGGGCCAUCCUCAUUGGUGGCCAACGGCUUCUCCAAGCCCUUCUCAUACAGUGACUUCAGGGCCUCGCGAGACAUCUUCUCCAGUAGCGUGAAAGUCGCGCGGUCCUCAGCCAGAACCUUCGCCUUGGCAUUAAGAUCGACCCCCUUCUCCUCCACCUUCCGCUCCAGCUCCUCCAGCUGGCUGCAUUCCAUGGCCUGCUCCUUUGCCAACUCCCCCAGCUUGGCGUCGCGGUUCUUGAUGGCAUCCUCCUGGGCCUUCAUCUCCUCCUCCUUCGCCCGAUGGCCGCGAGCUUCUUCUGCGCGCUCAUCGUGCAGACUCUUCAGCUCGUCCUCAAGCGCCUAGCAGCGGUUGUGGGCGGCUCCGACGUCUUUCAGCGCCGCCAUGCGAUCGGCCACAGCUUGAGCGACGGCCCGCUUCUCCUUCUCGGAGGUUGUCGUGGCCUGGCUAAGCGCCGCUCGGACUGCUGCGUCAGACUGAAGCCAGCCGAAGGCCAGCUCCAGGCGCCCGGCUACCAGGCGCGGAUACGCGCCCAUGAGAUAUUCCCGUAGCAGAGUCAUCUCUGAAAGGGCAUGCUCCAAGACAGUAGAGGAGGCGGAAGAACCUGGGAGUAAUGGCGCAGAAGGAGGAAGAGGCGUCGUCAUCACUAGGGCAUGAGAGGUAGGAGGCUCCUGAGCCUCUUGGACCUCACCCGAGCCGGAUGCUAGCACCUCCUGAGUCUGCGGUGCUUCGGGGGCUGACUCCUCCCAAGGAUGCUCCACCCAGCCUCGUGGGGAUGAUCGGGAUGGAGAAGCAUGAGCACCCUCCCCAUCUUUGCUCAAGGAGAGGGGCGCGGUCGCAGGAGUCACCCCGGAGUUAAGCAGCACCACCUCGCUCUCCCUCCUCCUCUUCACCACAAGCCUCAGCCUGGUUGCACAAUAAGGAAAAGAGUUGGAAACAAACACCAACAGAAAAAACAAGGACGAACGUCAAGUGGCAGCAGUAUAAGCAAGAUCAAGAUGAAGCUCAAGCACUUACUGGUCCACAGCAACGUAGUCCACCCUCCACUUUCUAAGCUUGAAGCCAGAGAGUUUUGCAAACCGAGGCGCGGGCCCGCCAGCUCUAGAAGUAGAAGCAGGAGCAGCGGUUGGGCGGAAAGCGGCUCCAGGCGGUGUCGGAAUAGAAGCGGCGUCCCGGGAGGUCAACACCGAUCGGUCCCUCGUCGGGAUGACGGGCGGCUCUCCCCUAUCCAGGCGGUCGCCGGCCUUGUCGUCGUCUGGAAAGGCACGAAGGAUGUCAGCUUUACUGAAGGGGGAGGUCUCCCCCGUCCCUUCGGGGGUCACCUACGAGUCUUCCUCCUCCUCUUCUUCCUCCACGCGGGACUCACCAGAAGACAGCUCCACCGGCGUUGGCGCCGCAGGGCCCCCGGUGAGCACCGACGGCACCAGUCCGCGCCCGUCAAAGGUCGGCCUGGAGGCCACGAGCAGCGCCCCGUCCUUGUGACGGAACAAGGGAGUGAAUACAUUCGGUAGAUACUCCUGGUCGUCCCCAACCAGGAGGCGAAGAGCUGCGACCAGCUCCUCGCCGGACAAGGCCUUCGAGCUCAAGGGAACCUUGUCCUCUUCGUCCCAAAGCUCCCACAAGGGGCACAUGCAGGCUUGAAGCGGGGCCAUGCACAGCGCCAGGAAUUCCCUCCGGAGCAUGGCCCAUGUAAUCUUCGCCGCCUUCGCGUUGCCCGGCUUCAGGUCGGACUUCAUCUGCUCGAGCACCAACGUCACCCGCUUGUCGGUGAGCUUCGCGCAGGACCACCCCUUGUCGGACUGGAGCAUCUCCAUCGGCAGCGUCAAGCGUGGGUGGAUGCAUUUAGCAUCCAUCAUGGCCCACUUGCUCAGGAAGCCAUCGGCUUUCUUCCCCGUCUUCGAGAUCGAGUUGUCCUUGCCGGCCAUGAUGAAAUUGAUACACCCAGAGGCGUGACCCUCCUUGGAAUGAAGGAAGAAUAAGUGGCGCAGAAGGGCCACAAACAGCAUCAUGCCGAGGUACGCCUCGCAGUAGUAGGCGAAGAUCGACAAGAGAAGGAUAGAGUUGGGAUGAAGAUGCAGCGCCUGCAGCCCAUAGUGAUGAAGGACCUCGUAAAAGAAGUCAGAGAAGGGGGGAACCAGCCCAGCGGCGAUGCUGCUCAUGAAGAAGGGGAAGAAGGUGCUUCCCUCAGGUUCAGGCACGUCCGAGCUGGCCCAGAGUCCAUUCUUCCCCUUCUCAUUUCUUUCCUCCGCCGUCAGCAAGCACGUGGCGGCGAGGUUCUUCUCCGAAACAUUGGGCGCGUCAAGAGUUGGCUUGUACCAAGCCGGCGACGAGGCGGGCUUGACCCUCCGGGGCGCCAUUGGUCGCUGGUGCGGGAAGGAUGGGAGUAGAUCUGGAGACUUUGGAGGCAGGGUGCAAGAAAGGGGGCAAGGCAAAAGGAAGCAGUGAAGGCAAGCACUAUGUACGCCAAAUUUUUUGACAGGCGGGCAGUUGCCGAGGCAGCAUGGGGAAGCGGAGACGCCCACGUCCAAUCAACCGCCACGCAUCGACCAAGGCCACGGGAUUUUGGGGCCCGCGGCGCUCCGCACUUGCCCCUUGGCUUCGCCUCGAAGCCAAGCCCGAGCGCGCCUUGGGCCCGGGGGCUAAUGUCGGCAUUAUGAGAACGGGGGUCCCCUGACUUGCCUGCCUGCGGCACAUGGCGUGGCUCUGCGAGCGGGACCGUACGGCCCAUCUUCACUAGCAAGGACACAAGACCCUCGUGAGGGGACAAGCCUCGCGAGGUGGACGACACAAGAGCUCCUCAGGAGCGGCCUCACCAGGCUAGCUCGUGAUGGGCGGAGAGAUCAAGGCCAGGCAAACCUCGCGAGGUUCCGCUGACGUGAGCCAUGACAACCAAGGCCUGGCGAACGCGAGCAUGCACAGUGUCCUUGUUUCCGCUUUGGUGCUAAGGAAGCAUGCACAUGCGUAGAGUACCAAGGCAUCAAGCAAAGGUUUCCAUAUCGGUGCAACGAUACCAAGACCAGCAGGACGGCAAGAUGGAGGUCACCAUGGAGCCCAAGACGGCGUCACCACCAGAGCCUUUUGCAGGCGAACACUGCUUUUGUGAGGAUAAGCUGUACUAGUUGUCCCCUUUCGAAUUGGCCGUUGUUAGCUCCCUUGCCGCUCAAUAUUUGGGGAGAGGACCAGGGCCUCUAUAAAUAGGACUAGCCGCCACCAUAGCUACAGAGAGAGAUGGAGGGGGCGGAUCGAGAGUAACCAGAACCACCACAAGUUCACCGAGCACAAGAACACCUCUCCUCAGGAGGCCGUUCUUCCCCUUGUACUUUUCAUCCUCAGCCCGAGAGGCAAUCCACCACACCACACUUGUGUAGGGUAUUACACCACAACGGUGGCCCGAACCAGUAUAAAUCUUGUGUCCUUUGUGUUGCGAGUUCGUCGAGUUAGCCCGUAAGAUCUUAGCUAAGCUAGGACAUGGAUCGGUAGGGGGAGAUCUUCGCACGCACCCCAGAGUUCGAACCUUGAGGGUUUUGCCGGAACCUGUGAUCCGACAGCGCCACCGUCGAUGUCCUCCUCGGGUCCAACGAGAUCCAGGAGGAUCUGCCUUGGACCGCCACGACCCGCGAUCCCGGCGUUCCCCGAUCCAAACAUCACUGCUAGAACCGCACCGCACCAUCCCGGGUCAUCUCCAUCCAGUUUCCUCGGGGUAAGAAAUUCCACUAAGUCCCCAGAUUCCAUAUCAGCAUGUGUGCAUAUUCAUCAUGGCAUAACUCCAUGCAUAUUGCUCCGUUUUGGGUGUAUGAUAUGUCAAAAUGUUCCUCUCAGAGUGCUCUACAUGAUGGUAUAGUUUGCAUGCAUGUUAAUAUUAAUCUUUAUGCCUUAAUCAUUGUGACAAGAGUGCUAUACGAUGUUAACUACUAAAGAUUGUCAUAACUUGUUGUUUGUCUUUUUCACAGCAUUUUGUGUGUUCUUCUUUCGAGCAUCAUGUCAACAUGUUUUAGGAACAUCUUCAUGCCAUCUUUAUAGUGGUGCAAUCCAUGUAUUUUUAAGUGGCUUCUGGUGACUAGCACAAGCUUGCAAAGUGUGCUACUUGAUGUUGCUGAUUUCUGAGACUUAGUGAUUUUUGCAAAGUUUGUAACUUUUAUGUGAUGUUUCCAUCAAUUCCAUGCAUAAUAUGGAGAUGUCUAGUUGACAUGUUUUGAUGUACAUGUUAUGCUCUAUCAUGCCAUGCCUUUUGAUUCCUCACAUAUGUAUUGUACCAUAUGUUUUCAUUGCCAUGAACAUACCUAAAUGAUGUUCCAGUUUUCUGUUAACUUCAUGAUGCCAUGUUGUGAGCUUGUUAUUGAUCAAUCUAUGCCUCUUUUGGAGAUUCUCCAAUUACAUGAUUUGAAGUAUGCUAUGAGUACGUUGUCCACAUGCCCAGUUUGAUAAUUUUGGAGUUUAUAUGACCUCUGCUCCAAGUUUGCAAACAUGCUAUGCUGAUGUUGAUGUUUUACACUUGUUGAAAAUGUUACAACAUUCGAACUCGUCUUGUUGGCUCCCACUAGUCCAUGAGUCAUAUGUAUAUGAUGCCUUGAGGUUAUUUGCUCCUUGUUAUGCGUAAUUUUAUGCCAUGCCCUUGGUUGUUAUAUAACUUUGUGUAGUUUGUCUCUUUCUUGCUCUCAAGUUUACAUCAUGCUAAAUCUGUCAACCUGUAAAUAGCAUGUUCCUUUUUCCACAGUAUGAUCGUUGUUACUUCAUACAUCAUAUGAACUUGUGCCCAUGGAUUAGGUUGAAGUAUAUCAUCUCUACUACAUGCCCAUGUUUUUUGCAUAAUUAUUAAAGUUGCUAUGCUUGCUAUUAUGUGCCUUCAAAGUCAGCAUCAUAAUGUUAUUGUUUUGCAUUCCCAGAUUUCCUAGUCUAAGAAUCAGCUUAUAUCAUGUUGUAUCUUGUCUUGUUGAUUUCCAUUGAUCUAUGG
Molecule: long non-coding RNA, 16915 nt
Filed under: Triticum aestivum (bread wheat)
Lineage: Eukaryota; Viridiplantae; Streptophyta; Magnoliopsida; Poales; Poaceae
Description: long non-coding RNA (TAES_LNC001380)
Source: RNAcentral